Capsicum annuum is the source of this 1552-nucleotide long non-coding RNA. RefSeq lists it as uncharacterized. The transcript is spliced from 3 exons. The record is from RefSeq and is a predicted model, not a curated record. NCBI's taxonomy places the organism in Eukaryota, Viridiplantae, Streptophyta, Magnoliopsida, Solanales, Solanaceae.
UAUUGGUUAAUAUAAUCACCCAAUAUUACUAAGAAAUUAAUUCCCUUUUCUCCAAUUUGAUUUUGAAGCCAUGAAUCACAAAACAUUCUCUUUGUUUUUCUUAUAUUGUUUUGUCAUACUCUCUCUAUCCUCAAUAGCCUCUGGGAGAUUGCAAGGUGUUGGUGCAGUCAGUAAAAUGCAAAUGCGACCGAAUCACUCUGGAACCGCUCAGUAUGGAUAUGGAGGUCCACCAGCAGAUAAUGAAUAGACUGGAGUAUGAGGACUAAUUCCAAAUAAGGAUUGAUUGGACUGGCUUGACUAGGACUAUAUAUGUGCCUAGAGGAUCCCAAAAUUCUUUAGUGAUUUUUAUGGUGUAAAAUAUAAUAUAUUUUGUUAUGCUUGAUAGAAAAUAAACCUAUAAAUAUAUAUAUAUAUAUAUAAUAAUAAUAAUAAUAAUAAUAUUAUGUAGUUUUUAUUUAGUUAUGGAAGGAUAAAAUCACUUUUGUAAAAUCGAUAAAAUUGAUCUAUGCAUAGAUACAUGUAUCUGUAUAGGUGUACCUUUUCUUCUUGUUCAUCUUUUUUUUUUUUAAGCAUGUAGCUAUGCAGAGUGCGUAGUAAAUUAGAUUCAGAAUAGUAGAGAGACAAGAGAGGCGAGAUACAUUCGUCAUAUAUAUCUAUCUAGAAGCAAAUAUAGUUAUAUGUGAUAAAAUAUGUAGUUAUUAAAAUAUUGUUUUGUUGAGUAAUUAAAACAUAUAACAGUGUAUUGUUAUGGAAGUUGCUUAGAAGAAAUUGAGAAUUUUCUAACAGCAAAGGGUCCACACUCCACAUAAUUCCUCAAUAUAAUGAAAUUUCCUAGUAAAAUAAUUUUUAAUUCCAUAAAAAAACCACUCAAAUUCAUGCAUAAAUUCCACCAAAUGACCCCAAAAUGUCAGCCAAAAAGACUCCUAGUCAAGCCUUAGAAAUGGGAAAAUGAAAGUGAAAACAAUUCAAACAUUAAAGGGUCCACAUACUUAUGAAUUUCUUUUAUCAUUGCUCCCUUGAGGAAUAUUAUAAAAGGGGAAGCAUAUAAGCUUAUUGAUUAAUAUAAUCACCCAAUAUUAUUAAGAAAUUAAUUCCCUUUUCUACAUUUUGAUCUUCCUUCCCCUCUCUUUUGAAGCCAUGAAUCACAAACGUACUCUUUGUUUUUCUUAACUUGUUUUGUCAUAAUCCUCUUUCUACCCUCAAUAGCCUUUGGGAAAUUGCAAGGUGUAUAGUACCAUUUCUCUCUGAUACUAUUUAGUGUUUUGUGUAGUCCGAUUGUAGUAUUAUUUUGUUAUAUUGUAGUAGUGUUCUACGACUAUGAUCUGUUGUUUUUGUUUAUUGUGUCUAUAUCUUUUGUACAACCUUUUUACCUCAACUCUAAGGUAAAGGUAUGAUUUGCGUACAUUCUAUCCUCCCUAAACCCUUUUAUAAGGGAAUGGAGUGGGUAGUCGUUGUUGUCGUUCAUAAUAUGAUUACGUUAUAUCAUACGAGAUAUCUUUCUUUUCUCAUCCUCUAACCUUUGAUGAUGGGUAAUCGAUCUAUUCUUGGAACA